This 253-nucleotide ribosomal RNA is filed under the name uncultured bacterium. RNAcentral's name for it is "partial 16S ribosomal RNA". It matches the Rfam family "Bacterial small subunit ribosomal RNA", at positions 524 to 776 of the family's 1533-position model. The record is from RNAcentral.
UACGUAGGGCGCAAGCGUUGUCCGGAAUUAUUGGGCGUAAAGAGCUCGUAGGCGGUUUGUCGCGUCUGGUGUGAAAACCUCAGGCUCAACCUGGGGCGUGCAUCGGGUACGGGCAGACUAGAGUGCGGUAGGGGAGACUGGAAUUCCUGGUGUAGCGGUGGAAUGCGCAGAUAUCAGGAGGAACACCGAUGGCGAAGGCAGGUCUCUGGGCCGCAACUGACGCUGAGGAGCGAAAGCAUGGGGAGCGAACGGG